Molecule: ribosomal RNA, 468 nt
Filed under: uncultured bacterium
Lineage: Bacteria
Description: partial 16S ribosomal RNA
Rfam family: Bacterial small subunit ribosomal RNA
Source: RNAcentral
GACGAACGCUGGCGGCGUGCUUAACACAUGCAAGUCGAACGGAAAGGCCCUGCUUUUGUGGGGUGCUCGAGUGGCGAACGGGUGAGUAACACGUGAGUAACCUGCCCUUGACUUUGGGAUAACUUCAGGAAACUGGGGCUAAUACCGGAUAGGAGCUCCUGCUGCAUGGUGGGGGUUGGAAAGUUUCGGCGGUUGGGGAUGGACUCGCGGCUUAUCAGCUUGUUGGUGGGGUAGUGGCUUACCAAGGCUUUGACGGGUAGCCGGCCUGAGAGGGUGAACGGCCACAUUGGGACUAAGAGACGGCCCAGACUCCUACGGGAGGCAGAAGUGGGGAAUAUUGCACAAUGGGCGGAAGCCUGAUGCAGCAACGCCGCGUGCGGGAUGACGGCCUUCGGGUUGUAAACCGCUUUCGCCUGUGACGAAGCGUGAGUGACGGUAAUGGGUAAAGAAGCACCGGCUAACUACGUG